GGAAUUUUCCGCAAUGGGCGAAAGCCUGACGGAGCAAUACCGCGUGAGGGAAGACUGCCUAUGGGUUGUAAACCUCUUUUUUCAGUGAGGAAUAAAUGACGUUAACUGAAGAAUAAGCAUCGGCUAACUCCGUGCCAGCAGCCGCGGUAAGACGGAGGAUGCAAGUGUUAUCCGGAAUCACUGGGCGUAAAGCGUCUGUAGGUGGUUUAAUAAGUCAACUGUUAAAUCUUGAGGCUUAACUUCAAAAUCGCAGUCGAAACUAUUAGACUAGAGUAUAGUAGAGGUAAAGGGAAUUUCCAGUGGAGCGGUGAAAUGCGUAGAUAUUGGAAAGAACACCGAUGGCGAAGGCACUUUACUGGGCUAUUACUGACACUCAGAGACGAAAGCUAGGGUAGCAAAUGGGAUUAGAUACCCCAGUAGUC
This 422-nucleotide ribosomal RNA is filed under the name uncultured eukaryotic phytoplankton. RNAcentral describes it as "bacterial SSU rRNA". It matches the Rfam family "Bacterial small subunit ribosomal RNA", at positions 358 to 795 of the family's 1533-position model. The record is from RNAcentral.